UGGGAAGUAUUGCACAAUGGGCGCAAGCCUGAUGCAGCCAUGCCGCGUGUAUGAAGAAGGCCUUCGGGUUGUAAAGUACUUUCAGCGGGAGGAAGGCAGAUAAGGUUAAUAACCUUGUCGAUUGACGUUACCCGCAGAAGAAGACAACCGGCUAACCGUCCGUAGCCAGCAGCCGCGGGUAAUACGGAGGGUGCAAGCGUUAAUCGGAAUUACUGGGCGUAAAGCGCACGCAGGCGGUCUGUCAAGUCGGAUGUGAAAUCCCGGGCUCAACCUGGGAACUGCAUUCGAAACUGGCAGGCUGGAGUCUUGUAGAGGG
Molecule: ribosomal RNA, 316 nt
Filed under: uncultured Enterobacteriaceae bacterium
Lineage: Bacteria; Pseudomonadati; Pseudomonadota; Gammaproteobacteria; Enterobacterales; Enterobacteriaceae
Description: bacterial SSU rRNA
Rfam family: Bacterial small subunit ribosomal RNA
Source: RNAcentral